AUGGAACAGCAUCAAGGAGCCAAUCUUCCAAUUAGAGUUUGGGAACUUUGUUCCUUCUUUUAUCUACCUUAUCUAUUAUGGUCCUUGAAACUUGGAUGUGAUAGCUAGGCAUGUAGCUGCCCACACUGAACUAUGGAGAAGGAACUUAUAGUCUAUGAAUAGUGAAUGGAAAUUUAAGCAGAGGGGAAAAAAAUCAGUUAUGCUUAACGCCGAAAAGGUAAAACUGGCUGAAACCGCUACAGUUUAGAAAGAGAAGGAAGAUAACUGGAUUCCGAUUCUGAAGGUCUUUAGAGCUUGAUAUCGACUCCAAACGAUCUUUUCAUUCCAAACUCAUGAGACUUUGAUACAGUGGCUUACUAUUUUGGAUCUAUGGAAAAUUCCACCCCUCUUUUUGGCCAACUGAAUCUUUAAAAUGAUUCAAGGGUUAAUAUGGUCGCCUCUUCCUUGAGCAACACUAAAACUAUGUGGUCUACAAGAGCAUCCCCAAAGUAAAGCUUCUACAGGUCCAUGUUCUACAAGUUAAUGUUUUCUUGUGCAGAUAUACUUACAUCACGGGCUUUAUGGAAUGUUUGACAUCCUAAUGUCAUCCCUGGGUAUGAAGUUUUCUAUACAGUCAUCUGUUACUCCCAUCUUAAAAGACACUAAACUCUUUUUUCUGUUUACAUGUCUAUAUUGAUUGUGAUUAGUGUUGUUCUUGGGGAGGGAGACUAAGCACAUACACAUGUGUUUUCUUCCCAGUGUUUCUGUUGCUCAUUAAGUUCUGAGUUCACACGUCUCUCAUCACACAUCAGUUGUAUAAUAUUCUGAGUAAUCAGUUAACAGGAGGCAACAAUCUCAUCUGGAUUCUAUUGUUGACUCAGAUGGAGGUUGAAACUGUUGUCCUACUGUUAUCUGUUUAUAAAAAAGUGUGAUACAGUUACAUGUCAGAUAUUAUACUAGGAGGAAAAAAAUUAAAUUUUACAACUAAAACAUGAGGCAAAAGUUUUUGUUGCAAUCCAGAAAAUUUAAUUCUAGUAAAACAGAAAAUAAAUACAUUAAGAGGAUACUUGAGAGUCCGUAGGUCCAUCUUCUACCCAGAUAUAUCAACCAAGAAAUUUUAGAGGCUUAAAAGAAUGUUUCUCAUGCAAGAUCAUUUGGUGUUAGAGGGAAAAGAUGUGAGGUCGUGCUUCACGAACACCUUGAGGAAGUCAGCUGGCACGGGCAAGGUGUUCUCACAUGAUUAUCAGGACCUCCUCUAGCCUCAACAUUCUGUAAGCACACAGGGCUAACGGGUAGAUGAAGACGCUGGCUUACCUUAGUAAUUCCUCAGACAGAGACAUAUAUUCAGUGGCAAACAGAGAGGACAGGCACUGGCUUUUAAAGAUGUUAUGCCUCACUGAUCUGAGAAACCCUUUUUGUUGGAAUGAGGAGGCCCCGCCUUGUGGAAGAAACUCUUUUGUCUAUUGUUCUACAUGGCAGCCAGGGCCACCACGUAGAAGGUUUCUGGACCUUACCAUUUUAGCCACUUCUAACUUGAAGAGGGGAACCAAAGGCCUUCCCUGGAGAAUGUGUGGUCUUCAAAGCCCACCUCUUACUGAUAAUCUUGGGCUAAAGCUUAUUGCUGUGGUGACCACGCUUAUAGAUUCCCUGGCUGUACAAUUCUGCCACAAGCCUGAUAGACUUCUAAUCGAUUUGCUUGCAGUCUGCUUCUUCCUGGUUAAAACUCUCCAGUAUGAGUCAUGUUUUCUUUCCGUCCUCACCCCUGCUCCAUUUCCUCAUUGCCUUGGGGGCCAUCUAGCUUAGACUGAGAGGAGCUUCACUCCUGAUAUGAUCUUAUAUGCAAAGCUGAGUCUCAUUCAAUCAUAUUCCUUACUAUCUGGGUUUUAGAAGCAGUCAAAUCUCCCAGCUUUUCAACACCUCUCGUUUCUGGUGUUCAGUUUUAUUUUUGCUUGAAAAGAAGCCAGCUCUUGCCUCAGUUCAUCUGCCCUUUUGUGAAUUGCCACCAGCGUUCUGGUUUCUAACCCUUUCCCCUAGAGCUAAGGAACCAGCAUGCACCUGGUCUAUCUUCUUAAGUGUAUCAAGGGGCAACAUCAUCAAAGGAUUAUGCCACUGCCUAACUUAUCUUCAUCUUCCCAGCCUCCAAAGUCCAUUCCACCGCUGUUCCUGCCCUUGUCGCUGAACCAUGCUAUAUACAUUUUGAGUUUGUGAUAUGGCAAUAUUCCAGCUAGAGUUGGGGCAACUUUAGCUGCUACGAAGAUAAACUCUGAAAUCUCAACAGCAUAAUACCACAGGCUUAUUUCUUAGUCCCUGAAAUCUGAUUAGUGAAGAGGCUCAGCUCCCUGCAGCCAUCGAGGAACUAGGCUGAUGAAAGCCAUGCCAUCCUCACCAUGUGACUUCUAGCUUAUACUGCAGUACCAGUCAGCUCAUAGAUGGAGGGGAAGAGAUUAUACGCUGGCUGCUGAGAGGUUUCCAAGGCUUAAACUUGGAAGUAGAAUAUGUUCCUUUGACCUAUGACCUACUAAAUAGCUUUCAGUAGAAGACAGAAGAAUCAGUGUCCAAGAAUAAAAGUAUAGCUGGGUCCAAGAGGAAAAGAAAAAUGAUUGAGAAAUGUUGAGUCUCAUUUCUUAAAUUUUCUGAAUCUUCAUCGUUGAUAAAAUACAUUCUAAAUUUUCCUGUGAUAAUUACAAAUGGUUUUUAUCUAAAGGGAUUCAUGAUCUUGGUCCAUCUAUUUACAAUGUUCGUCCUUAGGUGUUCCUUUUCUCUUAGGCUCACAGGCUGGAAUAAGCCUCAUGGAAACCUGUGGUUAUCUCAUUGCUUGGUAGAAAUUUCCUUCUGAGACUGAAUAGUGACAUCUAUUUGACAGAGAGAUUUGCCUUUGUAAUAAGACACUUUAGGUGACACUGAAAUUACAUGACAGUUUUAAAAGACAGCCAGCUAUUACAAGGCAAAAUGUUGAAUCCUUUCCUCUCUGGAGGACAGGUCCUUUUAUUGGUUUCAUACUAAUAAGAAAAAGUGUGAUAUGCAGAAAGCUGCCUACAAUUUUGUUCUUAUGUAGAUGAGGUUAAAGAGUAUGUGUCCAAGGCAAUCUUUAGAAGGAGGGUGGGAUGGGAAAGGGGAGGAGAGGGAAGAGAAGAGGGCAGAGCUAUGGAGGAGGAAAAGAGGGAGGAGGAAGGGGAGAGAGAAGGGGAUUUCUCUUUCUGGUCCAACUUAGAUUUAGGUUAAUUCUUUGAAUUCUAAAUGAGCCUACAAUUUACAAAGUAGGGAUGUUAGGCCUUCUCUCUCUCUCUCUCUCUCUCUCUCUCUCUCUCUCUCUCACACACACACACACACACACACACACACACACACAGUGCCCUACAUCUUCCAUCACUGGGAGCACUGCCACCUGGCAGGGGUAACGUUCACUGCCUGAAGAGGCUGGCUGGAAACCAUCGCCUAGUUCUUAAAGAAACAAGGCUGUAUUUUUAACAGAGCUUAUCUCCCCUGCCCGAGAAGAGGGGCACCCUGUCUGCAUUAUAUCAUGGCCACAGAUGCUGGGAUCCCCAGAAUGUACAUCUGGGUGAUUCCACACCUCCAUUAAAAAGAGGACCUCAGACACGUGUAUAAGAAAAAGACAAAGGGAAUAAUUCUGCUCAAUGUAGAAAUGGUCAGUCGAUAUACACCUCCUAAACAGUGCUAAGUAAGACAGAAGCUGUUACUUACAAUGCUCCUGUCCAGACUGGGCUCCAGAGUCUUUCUGGCCUUAGCAAUGUCUUUUGUUUAGGCACUGAAAAACUGUAAGUUGAUAACCUUUUCUUAUGGAUGACAUAAAGAAUAACACAAAAUGGAAGGGGAAAAGGAAGGGAAAAAUAAAGGAAGGAAGGAAGGAAGGAAGGAAGGAAGGAAGGAAGGAAGGAAGGGAUUUUCUAGCACGUUUUUGGCAUCUAAUGUUUUGUUCCAAGACUAAUGUGCCAUGCCAUCUGCCAAGUUACCAUGUCUUUAUUAGGUUGCUAUGGUAUGUAAAGAGAAAAAUGCUUUGUAAAGGGUCCGAGUGGUGUUUUUUUAGUUCCCUCUUCAACUUAAUAAGCUUUUUUUUAAAAGGUGAUAAAAUUUUGUUAAAAAUAUUGCAACAAUGCUACCCACUAAUAUUAGCACUGUAUUUUACUUUAUGGUUUUAAUUUUUUUGGACCUAAAAAUAAUUCUGAGGUUUAGAAUAUUUUAGAUUUGUAAGCUAGCAAAUUAAAAAAAAACCCUCUAUUAUAUCCUCAGAACUAGAGGGGGAGAAAGGGGCCCUUCUCACUCUCUUUGGAUUGUGCGUGAACUGGGAAUUCAGGACAGGAGCUCGGUGAAGGGAGAUGUGGCACUUGUGAGCUUUUUUGACAGAAACUAAUGAUUGUCUCCUUGUGGUUUACUCAUCUGACUAUUUGACCUCUGCCUCUCUAACUGGGGCCUGAGGUAGCAAGUGGAUCCAGCUUCAUCCUGGUUGUAAAUGUCCUUAAGGAGAGGGUAUGUAUGGUUUUAUGCUUCUCUUCCUCUGCCUCUAAGCUUUCAAGUUUUAUUUCUUCUCUGUAUCUUACAAAUGAAAAUUUAAGGCUAUGUCCAAUGGCACAUGCAUAUGUACAUACACAUACUUGAGAGAAACAGCAAUGAUCUGCAGUGUGUGUGUGUGUGUGUGUGUGUGUGUGUGUGUGUGAGAGAGAGAGAGAGAGAGAGAGAGAGAGACCUUCUAUGUGAGAAGCCAAAGCCAUCAACUGUCAUCUCUGUUAUUCACUGUCAUACUUGCUUGAUAUAGGGUCUUUCAUUGAACCUGGAACUAGGCUGGUAGACAGUAAGUACCAAUGAGCCUUCCUUCUCUGCCCCUGACCGCACUGGGUUCCAGGUGCAGACAGCCACACCUGUCUUUGUAUGUAGGGACUAGUGUCUGAGCCCCAGGCUGCCAUGCCUGUGCAGCUGCAGCCACUGUCCUUGCUCACUGAGCCAUCCCGCCAGCCUCAAUAGACAGUUUUGACAGCACUUUGGAAUUCAUUGUAGCCAGAGGGUGGGAGAAAAGUUCUCUGGUCCACCUGUUCACUCUUAUCAAUGGGUAAAGACUACGAAAGAUUUUUCUGGAAAAGAAUUUCUAUGAUCCAUGACCUAAUACUCUCAUUACAAACCUUAAAAUGUCAUCUUCCCUAGAUAAUUAAAAUGAUAUGAUACUGAACACUUCUGGAAUGCUCAAAUUAUUUCUUGUCAAUGCAAACCAGUAUUUCUGGGUUCUGUUCAGAUCUGCCGUGGGGAAGUCCCAUUCCUAAGAACAACCAAGGGGAUAUAGAAUACAGAACUACCAAGGGCAUCUUGACCCCAUAGGAAGAACAACAAUAUCAACUAACCAGACCCCCACCCCAGAGCUCCCAGGGACUAAACCACCAACCAAAAAGUAUACAUGGCUGGGUAUACUGAAGUCUGUGGCUGCAGCUCCAUAUAUAGCAGAGGAUUGCCUUAUCUGGCAUCAAGGAAAGGGAGGGUCUUAGUCCUGUGGAGGCUUGAUGCCCCAGCGUAGGGUGAUGCUAGAGGGAUGAGGCGGGAGUGGGUGGGAGGGUGAGUGGAGGAGCACCCUCUUAAGAGGCAAAGGGGAGGAGGGGGGAUGUGGUGGGGGGUUUGCAGAGGGGAGACCGGGAAGGAGGACAACAUUUGACAUGUAAAUAAAUAAAGUAACAAAAAAAAUACAGAAUUAUCAAAGUGAGCCAGAAGAUAUUUAUUAAGUGUCUACUUAUAGAGUGAAAACUGUCCUAGGAAAUGAGAAGGUGGCUUGAGAAAGAUAGAUAACCAUCCCAAGAAUCUUGUAGCUACCAAGUCAGUUAGGACACCGGUCUUGGUAAAGGCAGAAGAGUAGGAUGCCAGAGAAUCGAGGCUAGAUGCGGAGGCACAUGUCUUUAAUACCAGGACUCAGGGAGGCAAAGGCAGGCACGUCUCUGUGCAUUCGAGAACAGCCAGCCUGGCCCCACCUUCUCAAAAAAAAAAAAAGCCAGAGAAUGGAAACAAGGCCUCACGAGGAUACAAUGUCACAAAUCCAGGGUCUGUGCAGCAAGACAAGACCCUGUUGCAAAAUGGUGCUGGUGGAAGAGAGAUGGGUAGAAAUCAAAGCUAAUUAAUUUAUUAUAUCCUACAACUGAAUGUCCUCCAAGUUGAUAACAACAGAAUUUUGACUAGAAAUUACCCUUUUGAAUUAAUUUGAUCCAGUGACUCUUCUGAUAAAACCUUGGAAUUCCUGUUCAAAUGUCUUAGCACCCAGUUGACCACUUGCUUUUGGAAGAUUGGUCCUCUCAGUGGAAUCCACCCGCACAACAUUCUCUCCUUGCUUAGAGGAGCUUAGGAAAGCAUUCCUGGUUACCAGGGCAAAACAUUGGAGAGAAAGGAAGUGAGGCUUCGGUUGAAGGUUGGCCUCUUUGCAGAUGGCUUCCUAGAGAGGCUUCUGCCAAGCCUGUGCCUCCUCCUAACUCCAGUCACAGAGAGAGCAUCAGUGAUUUGCUCUCCCAGGAUCUGGUUUCAAUGGGCAACAUCUCAUUAACCAGACCAGCAGAUGUCAGUCCUGACCCACUUUUCCUCAGGUUUGAAUCAGUACCGCUCCAGCUGGUUUGCUGUCUCUGUCUUAUUUCUUCUUCCUGAGGUGGAGGGCCCCUGGCUUGCUUUGCUUUGCUAAUAUUUGCCUUAUUCGGUAGUCAUUAUGUGAUAAGCAGGCUGUUUGCUUUAGGUUUGCCUUGGUGUGUCUCCUAGUGACUUUUAUUCGUAGCUGGUAGCUUAACCCAAGUUACAGUUGUGAGCUGCUUGUUACUGAGUGUGCAUAGGACACUUUGAACAGACCUGCUGCCUCAAAAAUCCAAACCCAGGUCAAAAUAAAUGACUAAAAUGAAUAAAUAAUCAAUCAAUCUGAAGAACACACAUAGCUUGUAACCUCAGUUUCAUUUUAAAAAUAUCAGUGUGAACAGACUAAGGUUUACAAGCCCACCAGCAAAAAUGCAUAUAUUUUUUCUGUACAUUUUUUUUCUGUACAUUUGUUGAGCAUGUAUCUUAUCCUGAACAAAAACAUCUUGCAUGUUAUGUGGACGAAUUAAGUCGUUAGUCAGCAGUACAAAUGGAACUACUUUAAGGAAACAACAUACAUAACACAAUUUUACAGUAUAUUCUAUCUCCAAGAUGCUGCUUACUGUCACGGCACACUUUCGAUUGCAACUUUGAACUUGGAGAUGAGUUUGUGAAGGAAGAUGUGUGUGUGUGUGUGUGUGAGUGUGUGUGUCUGUGUGUCUGUGUGUCUGUGUGUGUGUCUGUGUGUGUGUGCUGCUCUCUGGACAAGGCAUUGUUUGUAAGGACUGAUUAGCUGCUGUGUGUGCCGAAGUCAACUGUCUUAGAUUCCAUACACAAGACAAGAGAACUGAAACACUGCAAAGAGGCCAGACACAAAAGAACACCAGGCAAUAUUAUGUCACUUACGUUACAGGGUAAAUGUUUAUUUACCGAGUUGAUUAGCUUAACCAACAAGAAUUUCUUGAUUUAUUAAGAAUAGCAAUACAACCUGUAAUAUAGAGGUAAUUUUAAAAAUCCCACUAAAGAUUGUAACACUCGGUGCCUUUUCAGGGCAAUCCCUCUGGUAAGCAAACAUAUAAUGUUGCUUUUACUUCACUUGAAUGUAACUUGUGAGUUACAUAAAAAUCUAAUCUAAGUGAACUGAUUUUAAUACACUUUUGAAGGCACAGUGAGGAAAUAAAUCAUUGUUUAUAAUUCUUUUAAUAUUAAAUAUCAAAGUUAUUUGAAAAUUUGUAUUUCAAGUUGUUAUUUUAAUUACUUCAAAAUUCUUUGCCUUUUUUAUUAGUAAAGAGACCAAAUGUGUUGACAGCUGACAAAAACAGUUCAUUCUCUCUCUCUUUCUCUCUCUCUCCAUAAACACACACACACACACACAAAUAUAUAUAUAUAUAUAUAUAUAUAUAUAUAUGGAAUAUCUUCUUAAAUUACAUUUAGGAUUUCUCUGUUAGUGUCGAUUGCAAAAUUAAAAGCAAAGCAAAUGUGCUUUGUAAAGAUUUAUUAUCCUGGCCUGUAAAAUCAUUUCCUGGUUCACUCUCCAGCAUUCUAGAUGGCUGCUUUUCAGUGAAAUCAUAUAAUGUGAGCCUUAAUAACCAGGUGCCCAUGCUAAAGUUCUAUCAUCCACACUCCAAAAAGUGAAAUUAAUUCCAAUAAUAUAUUUCCCAAAACCAUUUUGUCAUGCAGUCAAUAUUUUUAAAAUUGCACAUGCCUUUCUCUCUGUGAGAAUUCAUGCCUACAAAUCCCCCAUCACUUUGCGCUUACCGCCCUUCUCUAUCCAUACUUCCGGGGUAUGGGUUAGAGGCCACCACCUCAGAUACUGAAGGUAAAGGUGACUAAACCCUUCUCUGAAGACCUGGGGAGCGUCCCUGGUGAGCCGGUGGCCAUGGAGAAGAUUCAUGACUGUUCUGUUAGUGGAGGAAACUCCUCCGCUGCACCGGAACCCUUUGUUCAUGCUCUAUUUUGUCUCUAACACGGGCCUUGCACUGUGAAACCCCACAGGUCUUUCGCAAGCUGUCCGACCCUCUGCCUGUCAUGGCUACACAGCUGAAUUUGCUGAGGGAGUUACUGGAGAGCACGACCUAGAGCGGUUUGAAGCUACCUAACCCGGAGCCCACACGAGUCUUAUAGAUCUAUUUGAGACAAGAAAAGAAUGCGUGUCUGUGGACUUUUGGGUUGUCUAGUGUGUAAUCCUGAACUGUAACCCUGGGAUUCCAGAAAGAAUGUCAAUUCUAUGCUUAGGUUUUCUGGGAGCAACUAAUUUUUGACAGAGCUCAUCUGAUUUUUGUAUUGAAUAGGCCUCCAGCUUUUUAGACAAAUGUCUGGCCUGGACUUUAGAAACCAGGGCCUCCCUAGAGAAGGUUUUCUGUUAUUGCUCGUGCGAGUUUGUCCAGGCCAGAGCGACUGCUCAGGGAGACUUUGCAGAGCAGCGUAGGGAUUGCCUGGAAGUGGUACCAAGUUUCUGCACCAUUAGUCAAGAGAUCAUUUAAACUAGAAAGUGGAGAAUAAUUUGCAAAAUUCAGAUAAGUGGACACUUUUUCUUUUAUUAGCUCUCUCUAUUUUUACCACACUCAGUAUCCCUUAUCAAAAAUAAGUAGUAGCCAUUGGUCCUCGAUGUUUUUGGUCACGCAACUCCUAAUGGAAUGAGAAAUUUUUGUAUUAGGUGAGCGCCUUGUGCCCAACAUGUAUUAAAUUAGUGGAAGUCAUUACUAGAAAGUCUUGGCUGCUCCUGAGCCAUCCAGGGCACAGAAGAGAAGGAGAUGAAGGGAUGGCACUGACACUUCCUUCUCGGCCCCUCUCCUGUUCUGUCUUGUUUGUUCUAAUAGUCAGGGCCUGCCUUUUCUUGCAGCCCUCUGCAUGAAAUCAUUUUUCUAUCUUAUUAGCAUACCUUAAUUAAUAGAAGUAUGUUUGUGCAUCUCCUAGGUCAGAUCAACUCCCCGGGUAAAGGUUUUGGAGGCUGUCACUAACUGUCUGGUUACUUCUCUAUUAACUUGAAGAAGAAUCUUAUUUUAAAAAAAGUAUCAAUAAUUAUGACUUGGUAUGAUCUUGAAUACAAAUUUGUUUUUUUUUUUUUUUUAAUUGGUCCUGGACUCCUCUUGUUCGUUUCUCGGGAAAAGGCUUGUGAAGAAUUUCUCAAAUUUAGGGAUUCUUUUUUGAAGUCUAAUUUUACUUAUUUGCCUAUUUUUGAACUCCUAAAGAAAUGCAACAUAUUGGCUAUCCUCACAUUUUUGGAAGCAAGAGCUCUGAACUGUUUUCUCCAAAGUUGGCCCUCAUUAAUCCUUCUUACUCUCAGCCACUGCUUAAUAUUUCCACAAAGCAGUUCAAGGUGAGUUGUCUGCCAGUGGGAGACAGUUAGUGUGGCACAUCUGCUUGUGCCACCAUUGUUGCUUGAUUUAGCCAAAGAUUUAUUUAGAAAAAACAAAUAUAAUAUAGCAGGAACAGUCACAGUUGCCAACCGUGACGGCAGUGCUGUUAAGGUGACAUUUUGGUAACAGAGACUUUGAUACUAUUAGUUUAUGUUAUGUUGCUAUUAUUAUUAUUAUUAUUAUUAUUUAUAUUAUUAUUAUUUUAUUUUAUUUUUUUAUAUUAUUAGUUUAUUUUAUAUUCCUGCUUUGAUCUCAAAUCAGUGGGCCUUUUUAUUUAAAAAGAAAGAGAACGAGACUUCGAUAUAAAGUAGGAGAGGGGUGACUGCAAAUAGUUUGCUGUACAGAAUUCAGGUCUCCCUAUCUUUGUAUGCACGAGUGGCAAGGCUUCAUCAGGACAUCAUACCCCACCUAACUGGAAUUAAAAUUACAUCCGCUUCUUGUUACGUACAGCAGCCAGAACAAGUGUCUUCCAAAAUCUUCUCGUCCCCUGCCUCCAUGGGUCAUUGCUCUUCUUUCUCUGUCCGCCAACAGCUCACCAUACCAGAGGCCCCUCAGAUUCCGCAGCGGAGAAUGACACCGGGUCACAGUCAGACUCCUGUGACAAUGACAUUUUCUGGGAGAGUUCUGCACAGCUGUGUCACUAUUAACUUUUAAUGAACAUCCUUUCUUCCUUUGAAUUUUGGCGAGUUAAAUGGACAUGCCAUUUUUACUUUCAUCCCUACUUUAUGUGACACACUAUAUAGUAAUUAUGGGUGCUAAGGUAGUUUGGGAUGCCUAACUUGGGUGUUCCAAAACUAAUAGCAUAAUUUUGCCCAUAGUUACACACAAAUGUAAUAUAAGAUUUUUUUUUAAAGUCUGGGGCUGAAAAUACAUUUUAACUUAUAAUACACCAAAAGGCAAAGAGAUGUAUCUAGGCCUGAAUUUGGGCCCCACUGUUCAUUUCAGGGACCGCGGCUCUAUGGAGAACUCAAUGGAAGGCGUGCCCAAUGGUUCCUGGGACAAUGAGUGGAACAGAGGCUCCGUGGCGGUCAUUUUGGAGCAUUAUUCAUUCCUGGUCUCCACAAUAGCUGGAAUCUGAUAAUUUAGCAUUAAGCCUCUUUUCAACUAUAUGGAACUGUAAUAAGGUGAUUUAGCCAAUGUGCCUGUCCAUUGUCCCAGAGAUUCUGUGAUCUAUUAUGCUGCAAUGUGUAAAAAGAAAGGAAAAAAAAAAAAGAAAAGAAGAAAAAGAAAAUGAAAGAAAGAAAAAUCUAGGGGUAAACAUAAACCAAUUAAUUACCAGAAACAUUAGAAGAUGCUUUGAGAGAGCUGUUAUUUAUUGGCAUUUUUUUAUGAAUCAAUAUAGAUAUAAGAAUUGACUGCCAAAGCCUCUGGGUACACUCACAUAAUGAAAGUCCAAUUAAUAUCCCCAAGCACAGUGCACGGCCGGCAUCAGGGAGCUGCAAGGACAGUCACUGGCUUCUGCAGCCAACAUUGACAGCUGCAGGGCCCUGAUAGAAAACAGCCUCAAAGGCCCAAUCCCCUCCCCCAGCCCAGCCUCAACUGCACGGGAGCUUCAUAUCUUGCCUGUACUGAAGCAAGGGCUGCAGGAACAGAUGGGACACCAGAAGCAACCCGUGGCUAUUUGUGAUGUCACCAAAUGAAGCAUUCUGGGGUGCUGUUGGGUGGCAAAAAAAAUCAAAAGGAAGGAUGAGGGAGCAUCGUUAGGAAAACUAGGUGACAAGGUAAGACAAGGUGACAAGGUGACAAGGUAACAAGGUAAGACAGUAGGUUAGCAAACCUUCCGUCAGGCGCUAAAAAGAGGCCAUGCAACCUUCCAUCCAGAUGUGCUUACAUUUCCACUUAUUUUGUGUGGAUUAAGAAGGAGAUUGACUUGAUCAUUCCAUAAAAAUGAUUUACCUAAAUAAGAGAUAGAAGAGAUUUACCUAAAAUAGCCAAUUCUUAUAGUGACUGAAUAGGACAGACGGUGGAAACAAAACAUAAUUUUCUUCGUCUUCAAAUAGGCCAUUGAUGAUAUAAUUAUACUCUUAGUGAGCAAAACCUCCAAGGAGACAUGUGGUAUUAAAUUCCCUGUAAAUUCUAGGAAAGUCAUUUUCAAGAAAUGAUGUUAUUAUGCGGAAGUGGGAGAUACUCAAGGCAGCUUGGAGCCUUGCUUAGGGUCAGUGAUAGAAGUCAGAGGUGAGGUUCCAUUCUUAUCCUUCCAAGAUUUCUGAAGGCUAGAGAAUCCAUUUGAGGAAAUCAUGGAAAUAAUAUGUGUCUAUUUGGUUUUGAGUUAAUAAUUAUUGCCUUCUACACAUCUUUCCUCAAUUACAGGGUCCCACAUCUUUUAUGGGGGCACUUCUCAUAUGCUGCAUUUGUUCUAACCUAUGUUUCCUCUCUCUAGAGUGGAGAGCUCUUUCAUUGUUGUAUCUUUACUACCUAGCAUAAUACCUGGAAAGCAGUAGCCAUCAGUAAUGUCUAUUUAAGUAGGAUAGAUAGAUAGAUAGAUAGAUAGAUAGAUAGAUAGAUAGAUAGAUAGAUAGACAGCUGGAUGCAUGGAUGGAUGCACAGAUGGAUGCAUGCAUGGAUGGAUGGAUGCAUGGAUGGAUGGAUGCAUGGAUGGAUGGAUGCAUGGAUGGAUAGCAAAAGCCUUAUUUUAGCUACCUGUAUAAUUUAGCAAUCAUCAGCUUAACUUAAAAUUUUUCCUUGGCUUUUGAGAAGCAGAAUAUAUUGAGUUUAACUAUUUCUGCAUUUAAUUUGGCAAAAAUACUCUAGUUGUUACUAAUAAGAAGCAAAAAGAAUGAUAAGUAACUCUGAUAAAUGAAGGAGAAUUAUAAUUAGGUAAAAGCUAAUGGGGAGGUGAAAAGGCACUCACUGAACAUGUUUAUUCAUUUAUUUUGUUAUCAGUUCUUAGGAAUUUCUUCUGCAGACAACAUGGUAACACCCAUCCUGAAUUUCUCUAAGCAAAGAAGAGUCCUCCUGGUAGAUAAGUUUGUUUCAAUGCUUCAGUAACAUUUGUGGGUGGCUUCCAAAUUAGUACCACUUCACCAAAUAGGAACUAGGCCACUAGAUGUGUUCUGUGUGUACUAAAUGUGAAGAAGGUUAUCAGUGGGAUUUGGCUUUUGUAACGGGGAGAAUUGAAAACCCUGGAGAAAUAACACAGAAUUCUUGCAGAUAUUUUCAAGAUAGGGCAGUGUCUCCAGUGGUCUGGGGAGGGUGAUGCUAAGAACCUACUUUGGGAGCAGGGUCAAAAAGGCUUGAUGAACAAAGCUGAGGGGAUAGAUGUGUAAGUAGAAAGCAGAUGUGGAAACAUUAUAAAGCAGACCCCAGAUGGUGAAAUGCAUCCCUGUAAACCACAUCUGGGCUGGAGCAUCUUAGAGAUGCUCCAGGAGUGUGCUGGAGGUGUGUACAGCACGUUUUCUAUUAAAUGACUGUAUUACAUUUGUUGGAGACAAAGACAGGACUUUGGAAGUAACUUUGUUACUAAGUAACAUUGGAAGAAAGUUACCAGAGGAGCAUUUCCCAGCUCUGCACAGAAGUAUAAGAAAGUUAAAUAACCCAGAAGCAUUACCUCAUUCAUUACUCAGAGUUCUCACUCGAGUGCAGAAUACUGGGGGAACCACUCGGAAGAGUACACUCAUUGAGCAAGGGUAACACGACAGGGUUCCCAAGACCACACGAUGCUGACAAGAAUCAACGCUCAACGUAGUAUAAAUCAGCACAUCGUUCUCAAUAUGCUUCCGAGUAAUCUCCACAUCUCAUGAUUAAAUUAGCUUAGCAAUACCAGAUAUCUCAUACUCUGUGUGGCAGCAUGAUAUUUGAAACUGCAUUUUAAACCUAAUCUUUGUAAGCACUCUAUAAACUACUAUCAUUCCUAAUAAUUUUUUUUGUUUUGAAAUUCUUUUAGGCUUAUUGAAGUUAUGAAUUGAUUCCUGAUUACCCUACAACCCACUCCCCUAUUAUUAACAGCUUAUAUGAGAGUAACAUUUAUUAUUACUUAUGAAGUGUUGUUGACACACAAUUCUCAAGUCUGUAUUUUAUACAUAUUUCUUUAGUUUUCACUUAAUGCCCCUUUCCAACCUAUCUUGCCUACUGUCCUAUGUUCUCUUGUCAUUGUCAUGUCUUCUGAGGUUUCUCUUGGUUGAGGUAGUUUCUCCAUCUUUGUUUUUGAAGACCUUGAACGUUCUGAGAAGCCAGUUGCGGUGUUUUUCAGACUGCUCUGUAGUUGGGUUUUCUUGUGACUGUGUUGUGUGGUCUUGAAGGCCCCAGAGACAUCUACCAUUCUAUCUUGUGUCCAGGUGCUCUAUUAAUAUAUUAAUUAACCUUGAACACAUAACUGAGACAGUUCUUGUCAGGAUCCCCUACUGAAAAAAUUGUCCCUGAACCACACACUACGGUUUCUGGAAGGAAGCCCUCGUGCACAGCCCAUUAAAAGGAGAGGUUCUGCUCCAUCCCAUAGAGGGCCCCCAUUUUUAUAUAUGUACGUGAAAGCCAUCUCUAUUCUACAUUUAAAAAGUAUUCAAUAUGAUCUUCAUAUCAGUAUGCACUCAGAAAAUAUUUGUCUCUUACUUUUGGUUAUUCUGAAAAUGCUAAUCCAUUCAGGCCACUCUUGGGAUAUCUCUGAAUUCCAGAGGCUACAGAAGCCCAAAAGUUAGAUACCACCAGCGUCUGUGUCUGCUGAAGGCUGCUUCCUGGUUGUAGACUGGCAUCUUCUUACCGUUUUCUAACAUGGCCAAAGAUUUGAACAGGACACUUUAGGAGGGCAUUAAUCCUAUUCAUAGGGGCUCCACCUUCAGGACCUAUGCACAUCUCAGAGUCCCACCUUCAAAUCCUGUCACCUGUGGGAGGAGAGUCCAGCAUUUGGGUUUGUGGUGGCAACACACAGAAUUCCGAUGUGUGGCCUCUAAUACUGUAUUACGUUUACUACCAAUGUGACCAUUGCUGAUCAAAUGCCUCAGCUUUGAGCAACUGCAUCUCUCCCAGUCACCCCCAUGUCCCUCUGACAGAACCCCAUUUUGGGGGGUUGUUUUCUUGUUUUCCAAGAAGUGGCUUAUUUUGUUAACCAUAUUUCUAAGGAAUUCUAUGUUUUGUUUUUUUUUUAAAUAAGAAGUAAAAAUCUGGAUGCUGGGUAGGAUGGAAACUGUUGGGUUUUUUUUUUUUCAGUUUUAUUCAAAGGAGAUGAUUAAUAAAUCUGCCCACCGAUCAUGCUCUAGAGAAUUACAGAAACUCAAGCCUGCCUCUUCAUCUAACUGUAGCAUGGUUUCUUACCUUUCCCCUCUGGGGGCAUCAGACUUCUGCUCACAGUUACUUUUAAGUGCUGGAGUGUUUCCUGGCCUGAUGGCAGGUAUUGUAUCUCAGGGUCCCUUGUUUUGUGUCCCUGUGAUCAGAUUUUGCAAGGUUUUAUGCGAAACAGUGGCUCUUUCGCUCGCGGCGCUGAUCUAGGUUGAUAUCCUGGAGGUAGUGAGGAGGUCUGAAAGUGAUUUUUCUGUAUUUUGAAAAACCUAAUGAAAGUCAUGUGUUUACCGCUGACCCAGUCGCCCGGGCUAAGGAGAAUGCCAUGAUUCUCUAGCAACUCACUGUGCCUGGUUCCACGGGUUAUUCCAAGGCGGUAGAAACUGCGAUUGGCUGAUGAUGAGUUCAUGAUUGCCAAAGUUGGGAAUGACAAUAACGUGUCUUUGGGGUAACAGUGUUAGGAAAGGCCACAUUCAUUACUAUUCUACUUGUGAUCCAACUCCACUUGAAGUGGGGCCAUUGUGUGUCUGUGUAUAUGGCAGGGAAAGAGUAACUUUUUGGAUAUAAAGUAGACAUCUAUAUAUUUGGUUAAUGUUUUACCAAUUUACUGUAAUGUUUUAAUGUUCAGAAUUCUGAUCCAGAUCACUUUUAAUUUCUGCUUUAUUUUAGAUGCCUGUUUAAAAUACUGGAAGUAUACACAUUGGACUGAUUUUUUUUCUGUAUUCCAUUUUCUUAUGGAAAAAAUCUAUAUCUCAGUGUAGAUAAGCAUAUGGAUCUAUUUAAUAUGUUCAAAAGCCGUGCAUGAGAGUGACUCACAGCUUAAAUUUGUGGUGCUUAGCUAAAUUGCUUGUUGGGUGGACUCAGAAAGGUAGGAGAGAGGGAGGGAUCAACAAC
Mus musculus (house mouse) is the source of this 15980-nucleotide long non-coding RNA. RefSeq annotates it as predicted gene 11267. The record is from RefSeq and is a predicted model, not a curated record. Lineage: Eukaryota; Metazoa; Chordata; Mammalia; Rodentia; Muridae. The transcript has 2 exons.